Molecule: ribosomal RNA, 301 nt
Filed under: uncultured bacterium
Lineage: Bacteria
Description: partial 16S ribosomal RNA
Rfam family: Bacterial small subunit ribosomal RNA
Source: RNAcentral
CAGUAGCCGCGGGAAUACGGAGGGUGCAAGCGUUAAUCGGAAUUACUGGGCGUAAAGCGCACGCAGGCGGUCUGUCAAGUCAGAUGUGAAAUCCCCGGGCUUAACCUGGGAACUGCAUUUGAAACUGGCAGGCUAGAGUCUUGUAGAGGGGGGUAGAAUUCCAGGUGUAGCGGUGAAAUGCGUAGAGAUCUGGAGGAAUACCGGUGGCGAAGGCGGCCCCCUGGACAAAGACUGACGCUCAGGUGCGAAAGCGUGGGGAGCAAACAGGAUUAGAUACCCCGGUAGUCCCUGGCUCUUAUAC